Molecule: long non-coding RNA, 1106 nt
Organism: Astyanax mexicanus (Mexican tetra)
Lineage: Eukaryota; Metazoa; Chordata; Actinopteri; Characiformes; Acestrorhamphidae
Exons: 3
Source: RefSeq, a predicted model, not a curated record
CCAGCUGCAGAUGGAGGAAGAUGAAAUCAGUGGUUGUUUGCACUUGUUUAUCUAACUGAAGAGCUGCUUUUCCCGCUGAAAAGGACUGCUGUGUCCCCAGUGCAUCAGAAUGACCAUCACUUCAUGUGCUGCUGUUACUGCUGUGGAAAGCCUCCUAAGCAUCCCCUCCUCUGACUGAUCAUGAAUCACGGAAAUCGAUUUCGCUGUCACACCUCAAACCCAGGGCUUGACUCUUCCUGUGUGUGACUGCGGCUGGUCUGUCCUGCUUAGGGGUCCCUGGAGACCCUGAGAGUGGACAUUCUCCCUCCACCCAUCCCCCCACCCCAUCCCUGCCAGGGUCAGCUGGCCUAAGAGCAUGAAGAACGCAGGGAGUUCACUCAUGUCGGCAAGAUGGAAUGAAGAUGUUCUGCUUGACAUGCUAGAGCAGAGGCCUUCUCCACUUUCUGCUCUCUCUCUCUUUCUCUCUCUCUCUCUUUUUUUUACUCUCGCUCCAUCUCUGUUGUCACCUUUGCUUCACUAUUUCUCGCAGACAUCUGUCUUAUUCAAGUGCUGACAUUUUCAUCUAUGACCAUGACAGGGUUUUAGACACGACUGGAGCCAACCAGCUUUAUUCCCAGCAGCGCUGUGAGUUCAUAUCUCAGCUAUUCUGAUUAUCCAUCCAUCCGUUCUUUCAUCCAUCUCUUUAUCCACUGCUUUCAGGCCAGGGUGGUGGUGAGUCCAGAGCUUUACCUGGAAUCAUUGGGUACAAGAUCAUCAUAGGGGUCUAUUCUUUUGUGUUUAUUUAUUUCAUCAAUCCAUCUUCCUAUUAUCCACUUGUUCUUUUUCAGUGGAGUAGUGGUUCUAAACGAAUCAUUGAGCUCAAGGCAGGGAGACAACCCAUAAUCAAACAAUCAUAAGAUUCUGACAUAUUAACCAACCAAUUGUUUUAUCUGUUCUUCUAUGUUCUGUUUAAUGAUGUCUCACAUUUAUUUCAAGGCUCUAAGCUAAGAGCCAAGCUAGUUUGUACUUCUCCUGUUACUGAAAAUCUUAGGUUUCACCUUAACCCUUGUGUGGUGUUCAGGUCUGUGUUUUCAUUUUUCAUGAAAUGAUAAUAAAAAAAUAUUUUU